This 452-nucleotide ribosomal RNA is filed under the name uncultured bacterium. Its description in RNAcentral is "bacterial SSU rRNA". It matches the Rfam family "Bacterial small subunit ribosomal RNA", at positions 340 to 784 of the family's 1533-position model. The record is from RNAcentral.
UACGGAAGGCAGCAGUGGGGAAUAUUGCACAAUGGGCGCAAGCCUGAUGCAGCCAUGCCGCGUGUAUGAAAAAGGCCUUCGGGUUGUAAAGUACUUUCAGUCGUGAGGAAGGUGUUAAGGUUAAUAACCUUAGCAAUUGACGUUAGCGACAGAAGAAGCACCGGCUAACUCCGUGCCAGCAGCCGCGGUAAUACGGAGGGUGCGAGCGUUAAUUGGAAUUACUGGGCGUAAAGGGCACGCAGGCGGUUAAUUAAGUUGGAUGUGAAAUCCCCGGGCUUAACCUGGGAAUGGCAUUCAAGACUGGUUAGCUAGAGUCUUGUAGAGGGGGUAGAAUUCCAUGUGUAGCGGUGAAAUGCGUAGAGAUGUGGAGGAAUACCGGUGGCGAAGGCGGCCCCUGGACAAAGACUGACGCUCAUGUGCGAAAGCGUGGGGAGCAAACGAGGGAUUAGAUA